UGGAGAGAAGAGGCUGUCAGAUUGAGCUACUGAGUUCCAGAAGAGGAAGAUGAGUAGGGUCCAGAAGAACAUGGGCUUCCCACCUGGCUCAGCAGUAAAGAAUCCACCUGCAAUGCCAGAGAUGCGGGAGACCUGGGUUCAGUCCCUGGGUCAGUAAGAUCCCAUGGAGGAGGAAAUGCAACUCACCCCAGAAUUCUUCCCUGGUGAAUCCCAUGGACAGAGGAGUCUGGCGAGCUACAGACCAUAGGGUCGCAAAGAGUCAGACACAACGGAGCACAGCUUGGCAGCAGCAUGCCUCUAAAACAAGUGCUCCUUGCUGGCAGGGAGUUUGUCUGCUCUGCUUGCCUCUUAACACCUGGAGCCUAGAGCAGAGCCUGGUGUAUGAGACCUUCAGGAAACACAUAUAAAUAUCUGCUGAACAGGUGAGCGCAUUUGCAAUACUUUUUGUUUUUUCUUUCUAGAUUGCCCUAUGCAUGCCCCUUGUUUCAGGCAAAUCAGGGAACUUUCCAUUUCUGCGCGAACCCAGUGUUCCCUCACCUUUACUGAGGCUGCCACUGGGAGUAGUUCGUCUUUCUCAAUGUCCCCUGUGUAAACUUCUCAUUGCCAGGCAAAUGCCUCCUCCAGGAAGUCACCUUGAAAGUGACACGUGCUUCCAUUCCAGUCCCUAACUGCAGGCAUUUGUUGAGUCAGUUCCAUUGGCACUUACUUCACACUCUGACGCUUGUUCUUCACGUCCUUCCUUAAACUAUCAACUCCUGAAGAAGCCUGGGGGCAAGCACUAUGCCUGCACCCCUCUCCAGCACCUCUCAGAGCAUUGCGCACUGCAGAGGCCCUCAACAAACUGGCGAGAGUGAGUGAGUCGAAGUUUCCAAAAAGGUGAAACACUUAUUUUUCAAAAUGCUCAAAGUUUUUUUUUUUUUUAAUUAAUUUUAAUGGAAAUCUUUCUUAUGAAAAUCACAGCUAUUUCUAUCCCCUUAGGGUAUCCCCAAUAGAUUUAGAAUCAUAGUGACCCAAAUUUUUAAUUACAAACUGGACCU
Bos taurus (domestic cattle) is the source of this 1037-nucleotide long non-coding RNA. The record is from Ensembl. Lineage: Eukaryota; Metazoa; Chordata; Mammalia; Artiodactyla; Bovidae.